RNAcentral lists this ribosomal RNA (155 nucleotides) under uncultured soil bacterium. RNAcentral describes it as "partial 16S ribosomal RNA". It matches the Rfam family "Bacterial small subunit ribosomal RNA", at positions 355 to 507 of the family's 1533-position model. The record is from RNAcentral.
UAAGGAAUAUUGGUCAAUGGACGCAAGUCUGAACCAGCCAUGCCGCGUGAAGGAUUAAGGUCCUCAGGAUUGUAAACUUCUUUUAUCUGGGAAGAAACUCUCGAUUUCUAUCGGSAUUGACGGUACCAGAGGAAUAAGCACCGGCUAACUCCGUG